Molecule: ribosomal RNA, 375 nt
Filed under: Triticum aestivum (bread wheat)
Lineage: Eukaryota; Viridiplantae; Streptophyta; Magnoliopsida; Poales; Poaceae
Description: partial small subunit ribosomal RNA
Source: RNAcentral
AUGGUGAACCGCAACAUGCUGGGCCGGAAGACGAGGUACGCCUACCUGGCCGUGGCCGAGCCGUGGCCCAAGGUGUCCGGGUUCGCCAAGGUGGACCUGGUGACCGGCGAGCUCACCAAGUUCGAGUACGGCGAGGGCCGGUUCGGCGGCGAGCCGUGCUUCGUGCCCAUGGACGGCGAGCACGCCCGCCCCGGCGCCGAGGACGACGGCUACGUGCUGUCCUUCGUGCGCGACGAGGCCGCCGGCACAUCCGAGCUCCUGGUCGUGAACGCGGCCGACAUGCGGCUCGAGGCCACCGUGCAGCUGCCGUCCCGCGUCCCCUACGGCUUCCACGGCACAUUCAUCGGCGCCGCCGACCUCGACGCCCAGCACUAA